This is a long non-coding RNA of Oenanthe melanoleuca, 2401 nucleotides long. RefSeq lists it as uncharacterized. The transcript has 6 exons. The record is from RefSeq and is a predicted model, not a curated record. Lineage: Eukaryota; Metazoa; Chordata; Aves; Passeriformes; Muscicapidae.
GAGGGGCGGAGCGGAGCGGGUCCCGGCCCCGCUCCUCCCGGCCCCGCCCGAGGUGCUGGCGGGGCGCUGUCCCGCUGCUCUGCCCCGGGCCUGCCGCCCGCACCUGUGCGCUGCCGGCCCCCUGCUGCUCCUCUCCCUCACAGAAAACCAUUCUAUAUUCAGGAAGACAGGAGAUACCAAAUGGAUUGCUUUCAAAGGAUUGAAAAAAGAACAUCAACAACAGAGAUGCCUGUGCAGGACAGGAGCCUUUGACCAACACAUGAAGCAAUCCCCUGCAAGGGCAGGCAGCCCUGAACUGAGCCAUGAAAAUUGCUUUGAAAUCACGGCAGACAAAGAGGAAACUUUUGGACGUAAUUUAUUUUGGGAUGUUCCAAACCAAAGCUAUCGUCCAAACCAAAAAAGAAGUCCAGCCCUGCCAAGUCCUUAAUCAUUGAAAUGAAGAGACCACAAAACUGAAUGAAAAGAGGAUUGAAACAAUUUUCCUAGUCUGAAAAAGCCCCUUUUUUGGAGUUACUGUCAGAAGAAAAUAAGGGAGCAACAAAACCCCUUAAUACAUCACUGAUGUAUCUAACUCAAGGUUUGUUGCAGAGGCCAAACCUUUGUAAAGGGAGCAAUGCUGGAGUUUGUCCUUGCUGGGAGAGAGCUUGUAUGUAGACUUUGCAUUUCAGAAAAUAAACCAUAAACAUUAAACAUUAAAAAAAUACCAAAAACAUUAAAAAAAAAAAAAAAAAAAAAAAAAAAAAGACAACAGCAAACAAAAUUGUAUAAUUGUAUGACUGGGAAAGCUAGCUAGGAAUGAGACUUCAUUUUAGCAAAUCCUGUGAUAGAUUUGUUAUGAAAUAUAAAAUCAUCUGUACUAUCCCUCAAGUGGCAAUCACCAUCUAGGAAUAUUGUGUCAGCAUCAAACUGGAAAAAGUCCUGAUGGGGAUUUGAAGAAGCAGAGUGCAGUACAAAACAAGUGUAUUUCAUCUCGGCAUGCAGCACAGUUUUGCUCAAGUUGCUAAAUACAAGAGCACAGCUCCUGGGAAAAAGCCCUGCAGGCUCACCCCUCAUCCCCUCCCUUCGCUGCUGUUUGCUCAAACCAUCUGUGUGUACUUAACUCCCCAAGACAUGUUCCUUGGUGUCUCUGGUGGGAUUCAAUGAGCACAUGGACACCCUGCAGCCCCAGGCACCCUGCAGCCCCAGGCACCCUGGUGUCCUGCACCUCAGUGCAUUUCUGCCCUCUCGAUGGAUCCAGUCCUACCUCUCAACCUGCCCGCAGCCAAGUGGGUGGUAGAGGCCAGGAGAAAUGCUUUUACUCCUAUUUCAUGCUACAUCCAUUAACUUGUUCUUAAACAAUCUUUCAAGCCUUCUUUUUUUUUUUUUUUUAAGUGUGUCCUCCCUGUCAUAUGCAUGCAGUAAAGCCCAUUUAGCACUAUUCAGUAGCUAUUUCUUUCCUCAGGAACCAUGAAAGUUUACUUUUCCACAGAAAGAGCUUUGCUAUUUUGAGCAUGGAAUGAGGUGCGUGACUGUUCCUAGAGAUCCCACUCCCAAAAGGAGAGUAAAGCAAAACCCUGGAUCUCUCCCAGUAUAGUGCUGAGCCCAAAGGGCUCAGAGAAGAGCCAAAAAGGACCUUUUCCAAAAAAGACUAGCAAAGCCUCAACUAGAUGUUCUUAAUACAACAGAGAGAACUCUUAAAAUACCGUAAAAGUAUUACAGCAGGCUCUGAGAGGGAUGUACAAGAUGCCUGCAGCCCACCAUGCUGACCAAUGUUGAGGCAGAUGUGCUGCAAGUGAGACUGCCUGGCAGAACAGCUUUGAGAUAUCCAGCUGGUACAGGGGAAAACCAGGAAAAAGCUUUGGACCAUUUCAGUCCUAUGUUUCACCAAUGCCCAGACCUGAGCUGCCAAGGAAUGUGACUCCUCCAUCCUACAGUUACACCACAAGUCAUGAAUAAUAAUAACACCAAGGAUGUAGGUCUCUGUUACAGCUGCAGCUCAGUGAGCCUUUUUGUCCUGUUUUUUUCUUUAUACCUCCUUGGAUAUAAAUUCUAACUACAGUAGGUCAAAAAUAGAAACCAAACAUUUAAAAAUCACAAUUCUUAACUUAGAUGCCAUUAAAAUAUUCUGCCCACCUCAAACAACAGGUGAUUCAUUUGUGAAAGAUAAUGAUUUAUUUAUAAAGAUGCAAAGUGCAAAGCUGCACCAAGACCUCAGGGCAAGAGAGUGAACCAAGCAGUGUGUUUUGAAACCCUCCACUGACACCUGCAGAAGAUAAAGUAUUCAGCAGAGGAAGAAACACAACAGGGAGAGCAUCCUGAGCCUUAGAACAAAAGCAGGGCAUCCUCUCCAAACAGUAACCAUGGCCAGUUUGGUUGCUGAGCUAUGUCAUUUCCAUGAGCUUCACCUGCUGCAGAGAGAAAG